This 253-nucleotide ribosomal RNA is filed under the name uncultured bacterium. RNAcentral's name for it is "partial 16S ribosomal RNA". It matches the Rfam family "Bacterial small subunit ribosomal RNA", at positions 524 to 776 of the family's 1533-position model. The record is from RNAcentral.
UACGUAGGGGGCAAGCGUUGUCCGGAUUUAUUGGGCGUAAAGCGCGUGUAGGCGGCCAGAUAGGUCUGCUGUGAAAACUCGAGGCUCAACCUCGAGAGGUCGGUGGAAACCGUCUGGCUAGAGUCCGGAAGAGGAGAGUGGAAUUCCCGGUGUAGCGGUGAAAUGCGCAGAUAUCGGGAAGAACACCCGUGGCGAAGGCGGCUCUCUGGGACGGUACUGACGCUGAGACGCGAAAGCGUGGGGAGCGAACAGG